CGGGACGGGUGAGUAAUGUAUGGGGAUCUGCCUGAUGGCGGGGGAUAACUACUGGAAACGGUAGCUAAUACCGCAUAAUGUCUACGGACCAAAGAGGGGGACCUUCGGGCCUCUUGCCAUCGGAUGUGCCCAGAUGGGAUUAGCUAGUAGGUGGGGUAACGGCUCACCUAGGCGACGAUCCCUAGCUGGUCUGAGAGGAUGACCAGCCACACUGGAACUGAGACACGGUCCAG
This 233-nucleotide ribosomal RNA is filed under the name uncultured bacterium. Its description in RNAcentral is "partial 16S ribosomal RNA". It matches the Rfam family "Bacterial small subunit ribosomal RNA", at positions 100 to 334 of the family's 1533-position model. The record is from RNAcentral.